UAAGCCCAUUUUUUUUAUCUAUUAUCCAUUUCAUAUCCAUUUUUCAUUAGCAAAUACCCAUACCCAUCUUUGGCAUCCAAAUCCAAUUUUAAUCUCCAUAUCCAAUUUCAUUGUCCAAUUCACUUUGGUUAUCCAUUUUUACAAUUUGAUCCAUUUUUACAAUUGGGUCCAUUAGACCAUUUUUUGUUCAAAUCCAUUAUCCAUUAUCAAUACAAAAAUCCAUAUCCAAAAUCCAAAUUCCUUAAAGCCCAGUAACAUCUAAUCCAAAUUGAUUUUAUUUUAAUCCAUUAACCCAUAAAUCAACUCAUUAUCCCCUUUGAAAUUGAAUCCAACUGUGUCCAAUUAAAUCCAAGUCCAAUAUCCAUUACACAAUCACAAAUCCAUACAUAAUCUUAAUUCCCACACAUUCACAUCAUCCAAUUCAACCUUUCCAUGC
Molecule: long non-coding RNA, 436 nt
Filed under: Lathyrus oleraceus (garden pea)
Lineage: Eukaryota; Viridiplantae; Streptophyta; Magnoliopsida; Fabales; Fabaceae
Description: Pisum sativum (pea) long non-coding RNA (PSAT_LNC027418)
Source: RNAcentral